RNAcentral lists this ribosomal RNA (301 nucleotides) under uncultured bacterium. RNAcentral describes it as "partial 16S ribosomal RNA". It matches the Rfam family "Bacterial small subunit ribosomal RNA", at positions 509 to 807 of the family's 1533-position model. The record is from RNAcentral.
CAGCAGCCGCGGGAAUACGGAGGGUGCAAGCGUUAAUCGGAAUUACUGGGCGUAAAGCGCACGCAGGCGGUCUGUCAAGUCGGAUGUGAAAUCCCCGGGCUCAACCUGGGAACUGCAUUCGAAACUGGCAGGCUAGAGUCUUGUAGAGGGGGGUAGAAUUCCAGGUGUAGCGGUGAAAUGCGUAGAGAUCUGGAGGAAUACCGGUGGCGAAGGCGGCCCCCUGGACAAAGACUGACGCUCAGGUGCGAAAGCGUGGGGAGCAAACAGGAUUAGAUACCCGUGUAGUCCCUGUCUCUUAUAC